UAUAGCCACAAAUUUCUACUGAGUAUUUAUCUACUAUAUGGCAGGUCAAGUCUGCAUUCUGGGAUAAAGGGUUGACACAAUCUUGAAUCAGUGCCUAGGGAGUUCACAAGUCCAGAAAGGGGAUAGAGUAUAGAGAAGAUAAAGCAGAUGUCCGUACAAAGACUUGUAUGCGAAUGAUCAUAGCAACUUUAUUUGUAAUAGCCAAAACCUGAAAGCAACCCAAAUGUAUGUUAAGAAGCAAAUGGAUACAUAAAUUGUGGCAUAUGCAUACAAUGGGAUACCCAGCAAUAAAAAGGCUAAAAAGGCAUGAACUAUUCAAAGAUAAGAAAGCUGAAGAAGAGUAAAAAUAAAGAAACUUCUACAAAGCCACACAUGUAAUUGACCCAUCAUUUGGAUGUCCCAAAACCACAGAUGCAAUAGAAGAAUGGAACAAAUUUAUACAUUUUGUCAAUGAAAACUUUAUCUUCA
Molecule: long non-coding RNA, 468 nt
Filed under: Pongo abelii (Sumatran orangutan)
Lineage: Eukaryota; Metazoa; Chordata; Mammalia; Primates; Hominidae
Description: lincRNA
Source: RNAcentral